GGGACACUCUGGGUCUCGGAGGAGCGUGAUCCAGGUUGGAACGCAACCCAGACUGUCAACGAAACACGUUCCUGCGAGCUAAAGAAUCCCUUCCGAGCCCUCAUUGCGACCACCAAACCAGCCAAUCCCUCGUGGGUUCCCUCAGCCAACACUUGUGUGUGUGAAAAGAUCAAAUGCCCCCAUUGCAUCCAGAGCACAGACGUCCCUCAAAUCCUAGGCUCUCCAUUCUUCCCCGAGCAUCCUGGAUCCCUGGGCUUGGAGCUGCCUGUGAGGCUUCCAGCCCUCUGCUUGUCACCACUUCCCAGGUGGUUGGUGGCUCUGGGUGAACCCAGUGGAGCGGGCCGUUUGCGAGGAGGGCUGUUUGGACGCAAGCUGGGCGCGGGCAGGCUGGGCCGGGUCGCAGGGCAGGGCGCCCCUCGUCUCCUGCCUCCGCCUCUCGGUUCCGCACUGGUCCGAGUGAAGCCAGGGGGGCGGGGGGGAGCCGCGCUGACGUCACUGCGGGCCGUGCCCGCCCGAGAAGGCGGCGCUGAGCCGCUCAGAGCCGGGAGAAGCGGCGCGCCGCCAGGAACCUCCGCGCCACCGCCGCCGCGCCUGCCUCCAGCAGCUCUCGGCCACGCGACCGUGCGGUCAGCGGCGCUUGGAGGGCGGCCGGAGCUGGGCCUGAGCCUGGAGACUCGCCUGAUCCCGGGCGGCCGAACCACCAUCACCACAACGCCCCACCCCCGCCGUCGCCUUGUGGGGCCCCGGCCCCCUCCCGGGUCCGACGCACUCCAGGGUGGGCCAGGAGAAAAGAGAAAAGACAGCUUGGUGAUGACUAAGAAGAUUGUCCUGUGAAGGGAAGUGAUGGCACAGGCUCUGAUCAGCUCUUCUGGGAACAGACAGAGAAGUGAGAAUUCCUGCCAAAGCCACAGGAUGAACACAGAGCCAAGAACCUGAACCAGAAAAAUCCAGCAGGAAAGGAACCUGCACUAGCCGCCAUCCUGAGGCUGCUGUACAGGGAGCAAUCCUACCGCAGGGACUUGGCAGGAGACCAAGGACCUGCCCCCAGGUCCUCCUCGAGGGCCUCUGCCACCGACCUGCUUGUCUAGGAUCUCCUUCCUUUCUGCUUGUGCCACAUCUUUCAGGCCUGUUCUGGGUCUGAUGUGCUAUAGAACACUCUGUUCAGGCGCUUGGGAAACAGAGACUUCAUCACCAGCAUUUCCACCCCCAAAGAACUAGGCAGCACACUGGGAAGUUGCCAAAGGAAGGGACUCCAGCCUCCCAGGAGUUAACAACAUUUCUCCCCAGCUAUCCUCCCCUUGGUGCUCCUCUUCCUCCCUCCUCCUGCUCACAGCAGGCAGGGCCUGGAACCAGGAGCCAUGCUGCUGUGCUGUUGCCAGGGGAGCUGGGAGGCAGAUCGGAGCUAUGCAGGGAAAAGGCUCGGCCUGUCAGAGUGUCUGAGAUGAACCACCGCCAUCCCUGUGCAGCUGGGCUCCAUGUGUCUCAGGGCUCUUGUUCUGUGCCUGAGAACAGUGAAGCCCAGCGAGGUUCAAGGGCACACUCGCUAUUCAUCAGUCGGGGGUUCUUGACGGUCCUGCCUCUCCCAGGGAUGGGUUCCCCCCUUCCUCUUUCUCUCCCUCCUAUGAUACAUUCCUGGGUGCCUGUGGUGAGGACUGCACACCCCCUUCUCCACAGCCCCCCCAAACCCUGAAUCAACUCCUAUUAAGGAGGCCAGGCGGGACAGGGACAAUGGCUUCAAGAAAUCAUUCAGGCGGGACCUCAGUCACAUUCGCAUGCCCGUCACUCCCAGAGCCCCUGUAGAUCCCACUCUGCUGUGAUUCAGGGACCCUUGGGCCCCCAGCUUGCACAUGCCUAGACAGGAGCAGGCCACUAGGUGCUGCCCUACACAACAGGCCAGUGCAGUGUUUGUUCUCAGGGACCCUGGGGUCUCCAUCCCACUGGCUGGAUAGUGUGUGCAGUCAGUUGGAGAGCAGAAACUACAAUAUUUUCUGAAAUGUGGUAAUAUCAAGAUAUAAGAGGCACAUAUACGUGAUGACUAAUUUCACUUCAGAUAUACUGGAAAAGUUUGCUAAGAACAUGGACAAAGACCUGUGGUUGAGUAACGAGUCAUUUCAUUCCAUGGAAUAUUACACACCUGUAAGACUGUGGUAGAUCUACCUCUGCAUGCAGGCUGAUAGGGAAGGUUGUUAAUAUACUUAAGUGAAUAGAAUAAAGUACAAAACAGUCAAGUGUGUUCUUGUUUG
Molecule: long non-coding RNA, 2243 nt
Organism: Mus spicilegus (steppe mouse)
Lineage: Eukaryota; Metazoa; Chordata; Mammalia; Rodentia; Muridae
Source: Ensembl